AAUAGAAUUGCUGAAUUAUAUGGUGAUUCUAUGUUUAGCUGUUUUAGGAACUAUGAAAUUUUUUUCUACAUAGCAACUGAACCAUAUUACUUUUACACUAGCAAU
Molecule: microRNA precursor, 105 nt
Filed under: Marmota monax (woodchuck)
Lineage: Eukaryota; Metazoa; Chordata; Mammalia; Rodentia; Sciuridae
Source: RNAcentral